This 76-nucleotide transfer RNA is filed under the name Minicystis rosea. RNAcentral describes it as "tRNA-Thr". It matches the Rfam family "tRNA". From Rfam's summary of the family: Transfer RNA (tRNA) molecules are approximately 80 nucleotides in length. Their secondary structure includes four short double-helical elements and three loops (D, anti-codon, and T loops). Further hydrogen bonds mediate the characteristic L-shaped molecular structure. tRNAs have two regions of fundamental functional importance: the anti-codon, which is responsible for specific mRNA codon recognition, and the 3' end, to which the tRNAs corresponding amino acid is attached (by aminoacyl-tRNA synthetases). tRNAs cope with the degeneracy of the genetic code in two manners: having more than one tRNA (with a specific anti-codon) for a particular amino acid; and 'wobble' base-pairing, i.e. permitting non-standard base-pairing at the 3rd anti-codon position. Lineage: Bacteria; Pseudomonadati; Myxococcota; Polyangiales; Polyangiaceae. The record is from RNAcentral. RNAcentral also lists the same sequence under 5 other names.
GCCCACCUAGCUCAGUCGGUAGAGCACGUCCUUGGUAAGGACGAGGUCGUCGGUUCGAUCCCGAUGGUGGGCUCCA